Molecule: non-coding RNA, 254 nt
Organism: Cinara cedri
Lineage: Eukaryota; Metazoa; Arthropoda; Insecta; Hemiptera; Aphididae
Source: the annotation of a GenBank genome assembly
ACAUACGAUUUUUUGUAAAUAUUCAUGUGCUGCAGCUAAUUCGAAGAUAUAAUUCUGUUUAGUGUUUUAUUCAUCUGAAACGGGAUACUUAUUAUCAGUGCCGGGGUUACACAUGCUGGUGCCCUGGGUGGAACCAUGUUUUCGCGUCUUCCUUCCAAUUAAUCGAGUACAGUUAUUGUCAUUGAGAUGCCCCCCCUCUUACAGCAGGCGCCCUGGGCGUAGGCCCUGGUCGCCCAUCCCUAACACCGGCCCUG